CGGAUUACUGGGCGUAAGCGCGCGUAGGUGGCUUGAUAAGCCGGUUGUGAAAGCCCCGGGCUCAACCUGGGAACGGCAUCCGGAACUGUCAGGCUAGAGUGCAGGAGAGGAAGGUAGAAUUCCCGGUGUAGCGGUGAAAUGCGUAGAGAUCGGGAGGAAUACCAGUGGCGAAGGCGGCCUUCUGGACUGACACUGACACUGAGGUGCGAAAGCGUGGGUAGCAAACAGGAUUAGAUACCCUGGUAGUCCACGCCGUAAACGAUGUCGACUAGCCGUUGGGUCCUUCGCGGACUUUGUGGCGCAGUUAACGCGAUAAGUCGACCGCCUGGGGAGUACGGCCGCAAGGUUAAAACUCAAAUGAAUUGACGGGGGCCCGCACAAGCGGUGGAGCAUGUGGUUUAAUUCGAUGCAACGCGAAGAACCUUACCUACCCUUGACAUCCUCGGAAUCCGCCAGAGAUGGCGGAGUGCCUUCGGGAACCGAGAGACAGGUGCUGCAUGGCUGUCGUCAGCUCGUGUUGUGAAAUGUUGGGUUAAGUCCCGUAACGAGCGCAACCCUUGUCCCUAUUUGCCAGCGAUUCGGUCGGGAACUCUAGGGAGACUGCCGGUGACAAACCGGAGGAAGGUGGGGACGACGUCAAGUCAUCAUGGCCCUUACGGGUAGGGCUACACACGUGCUACAAUGGUCAGUACAAAGGGUUGCGAACUUGCGAGAGUGAGCCAAUCCCAGAAAGCUGAUCUCAGUCCGGAUCGGAGUCUGCAACUCGACUCCGUGAAGUCGGAAUCGCUAGUAAUCGUGAAUCAGAAUGUCACGGUGAAUACGUUCCCGGGCCUUGUACACACCGCCCGUCACACCAUGGGAGUGGACUGCACCAGAAGUGGUUAGCCUAACCUUCGGGAGGGC
This 903-nucleotide ribosomal RNA is filed under the name Billgrantia desiderata. RNAcentral's name for it is "bacterial SSU rRNA". It matches the Rfam family "Bacterial small subunit ribosomal RNA", at positions 546 to 1451 of the family's 1533-position model. The record is from RNAcentral. Lineage: Bacteria; Pseudomonadati; Pseudomonadota; Gammaproteobacteria; Oceanospirillales; Halomonadaceae.